GGGCGUGUGGCGUAGUCGGUAGCGCGCUCUCUUAGCAUGGGAGAGGUCUCCGGUUCGAUUCCGGACUCGUCCA
Molecule: transfer RNA, 73 nt
Filed under: Saccharomyces cerevisiae (brewer's yeast)
Lineage: Eukaryota; Fungi; Ascomycota; Saccharomycetes; Saccharomycetales; Saccharomycetaceae
Rfam family: tRNA
About the family: Transfer RNA (tRNA) molecules are approximately 80 nucleotides in length.
Source: RNAcentral